Cyprinus carpio carpio is the source of this 3101-nucleotide long non-coding RNA. The record is from Ensembl. NCBI's taxonomy places the organism in Eukaryota, Metazoa, Chordata, Actinopteri, Cypriniformes, Cyprinidae.
UCUUUUGUGGGUUAUUUCACAGCCAAAUUUGAUGUGCGAUUAAUAUGUGAUUAAUUAGAUUAUUCAAUUGCCAAACUGUGUAAUUAAUUAGAUAAAAAAAUGUAAACAAUUGACAGCCCUAGUAGAAAUACUCCAAACUCGAUAGUCUUCAGGGACUAAGAUGUAUAAUAAUACAAAAGCAGGACGUCCUAUCAGAAGCCAACAUCUCAGAGAAUUGGUAAUCUUUGCAUUACAGCUGCACUCAUCACAGAGCUUGAUGAAGCACCUCAGUGGGUGAUGGAUGGGCUUCUGUGUUCAGUUUCCCGCGGGAUCGCUGUCUUGGAUGGUGAUGUUGAGUGGUGUCCCUCCACAUCUAUAGGAACAAAUCAUGGCGUCAGGUGGUGUGGCGCUCUCACUCACCCUUGCUCAGCUGAGUCACUCUUACCAUAGCGAAUACCUGCUUUAUAUCUCUCACUGACAGUGAAGAUCAAUAGUGAUGCCUCGCUCGGUGGGUGACGGUUGGGGUCCAAUUCAGCUUCUCGUGGGAGACUAACGCCUCCUGUGCUGUGGUGCAUGAGAAAUAACAACAACAGCAAUAAUAAUACAUUUGCAAAUAAGCUGUGAUGCAGUGACUACCAAUGGGAGAAAAGAAAGUGGUCGGCCACCUGAUACAGCUGGAUAUGGAAGAAGACAAAUAAUAAGAACCAUAAAAGAAUAAGAAUAACAGAAAAAACUAAAAUAAAAAUGUAUAAUUUAAUAGUAAUAGUAAAUAGUAGGCCUUCAUGUAUAAUUAUCAAUUGUGUAAUAAUAAAAUAAGUUUUAUAAUUAUAUGUAUAAUAACUACAAAUAAUUGACUUUUUCAAAAUAAAAAUAAAAAUAGUACAGGAGAUCGCUGGAGACUAGAAGGUGAGUACACAGGAGAUCGCUGGAGACUAGAAGGUGAGUACACAGGAGAUCGCUGGAGACUAGAAGGUGAGUACAGGAGAUCGCUGGAGACUAGAAGGUGAGUACACAGGAGAUCGCUGGAGACUAGAAGGUGAGUACACAGGAAAUCGCUGGAGACUAGAAGGUGAGUACAGGAGAUCGCUGGAGACUAGAAGGUGAGUACACAGGAGAUCGCUGGAGACUAGAAGGUGAGUACAGGAGAUCGCUGGAGACUAGAAGGUGAGUACACAGGGGAUCGCUGGAGACUAGAAGGUGAGUACACAGGGGAUCGCUGGAGACUAGAAGGUGAGUACACAGGAGAUCGCUGGAGACUAGAAGGUGAGUACAGGAGAUCGCUGGAGACUAGAGGGUGAGUACAGGAGAUCGCUGGAGACUAGAAGGUGAGUACACAGGAAAUCGCUGGAGACUAGAGGGUGAGUACAGGAGAUCGCUGGAGACUAGAAGGUGAGUACACAGGAGAUCGCUGGAGACUAGAAGGUGAGUACAGGAGAUCGCUGGAGACUAGAAGGUGAGUACACAGCGGAUCGCUGGAGACUAGAAGGUGAGUACAGGAGAUCGCUGGAGACUAGAAGGUGAGUACACAGAGGAGACUAGAAGGAGAGUACAGGAGAUCGCUGGAGACACAGAGGUGAGUAUAGAUCACUGGAGACUUAAAAUGGAACAGGUAAGACUUUGAUGAAGGAAAAUCACUUAAGGAUCCUUUACAGGCACAAGGAGUGGUCUAAGAGUCCAUAAGGGUGACCAGGCAAUGGGUGCUUCUCAAAUGGAAGGGCACUUCAUUAUAAGGCUGUAUAUCCAAGCUGCCACAUUAUCAAGCUCCAUCUAAGGAUGUCUCGAUGUUAAGGAUCCUUAGUAGGCAGUCUAAUUUACAAUGGAAGCCUGUGUGGGGCAAGACUUUGCAUUGGAAUAAACAUUUCAAAACCAUAAAACGUAUACAUUAUACAUGUUAACAUAAACUUUAUGAUAAAAUGGUUACUAACCAUAUAAGCAACGUUAUAUUCAUUUUUAACUGCUGUGAUGACAAUGUAAAUCCAGUAAUUUUCGCAUGACACACGUGGAUACUAGAAACGGAAUGUGUGUUAACAGAGCACACUUGGUAAUACUUUAUUUUACAGUGUCAUUUUUACAUGUUAUGUGCAAUUACUAUAGUAUAAUAACAGUAAAUAAUGCAUAACGCCUUGCAACUAAGUCUAAAUCAAAGCCCUAAUCCUUUAGUAAGUACAUGUUGUUAAUUAAAUAUUCCUCAGUGUACUUAAAUGUAAAAAAAGAAAUAAAAAAGAAUCAAUAAAAUAGUUUUAACCAAACUAUGCACUUUUAAAUCUUCUGUAAUCGUGUACUUCAUAGUUGUCUUUCGUAAACUGAUUUCUGUAAACACAUUCUUGUGGAAUUAACGUCUUUAUUAUUUGUCUGCUCUCUUAACAGGGACCUAAGCAGUGCUGAGAUUCUCCAGGAUCAGUACAGUCUGCUUGGAAGACAAACAGCAGUAUACUGGCGCAGUUUGGCCGCAGGUGGACAAAGAUUGCCAAACUAAUCGGCACUAGGACAGUUCUACAGGCGAAGAGCUAUGCUAGGCAGUGCUUCAAAAAUAAGGUCACUAUAGCCACCCAGAUCCAGUCUGUAUCCAGAUCAGAUGGUCACUGCAGUGGCCCGGAUCCAGUCCAGAUGGUGGAUCAGCACCUAGAGACGACCAGGACAACCCUGAAUGUCAGAAGAGAUCAUGUCAACUAGAAGAGUCCCAAAGACAGAUCCCCAGCGAAAGACCUCGUCAACUAUAGGGCCACUGGCACAAAACCUCAGCAAAGACCAUGAUGAACCACAUCAUAUUCGUCAGUGGAGAAUUGCUCCUCCCCACAGAUUGAGUCUGGUUACUACCAAGGUUUUUUCUCCAUUUCGUAUUGCCUUUGGCUUGCUUAGGUGGGGACACUGCAUUUUUGGGGUUAUUAACGACUUGAUUUCACAGACAAUAUAUGAAGAGAACUGAACUGAGCUGGAUGAUGAUGACAUCAAUGAGUCAACGAUGAACUGACUUUUACUGAAAUAUUGCCUGUUUAUUUUUUUACUUUUUAGAGCUGCUUUACAGCAUAACUGAAUUUUGUUUGCAUUAUCUACACUAUUUUCCUGUUUAACAAUGUAAAGCUGCUAUUACACAAUCUGUUUUGUAUAAAGCACUAUAUAUA